UAAUACGGAGGGGACUAGCGUUGUUCGGAAUUACUGGGCGUAAAGCGCACGUAGGCGGAUUUGUAAGUCAGGGGUGAAAUCCCGGGGCUCAACCUCGGAACUGCCUUUGAUACUGCAAAUCUCGAGUCCGGAAGAGGUGAGUGGAAUUCCUAGUGUAGAGGUGAAAUUCGUAGAUAUUAGGAAGAACACCAGUGGCGAAGGCGGCUCACUGGUCCGGUACUGACGCUGAGGUGCGAAAGCGUGGGGAGCAAACAGGA
This 257-nucleotide ribosomal RNA is filed under the name uncultured prokaryote. Its description in RNAcentral is "partial 16S ribosomal RNA". It matches the Rfam family "Bacterial small subunit ribosomal RNA", at positions 521 to 777 of the family's 1533-position model. The record is from RNAcentral.